Molecule: unclassified non-coding RNA, 363 nt
Filed under: uncultured bacterium
Lineage: Bacteria
Description: contains 16S-23S intergenic spacer region
Source: RNAcentral
UCCCUGUUACCAGGGCAGUCUAGCUAGAAAAAUACAACUAACUAUAAGGGUUGCGCUCGUUAAAGGACUUAACCUAACAUCUCACGACACGAGCUGACGACGGCCAUGCAUCACCUGUCACUUGGCUCAAUAAAGCACUUUCUCCUUUCGAAGAAAUUCCAAGGAUGUCAAGUCUGGGUAAGGUUCUUCGCUUAUCAUCGAAUUAAACCACAUGCUCCACCGCUUGUGCGGGCCCCCGUCAAUUCCUUUGAGUUUUAAUCUUGCGACCGUACUCCCCAGGCGGAUGACUUCACGCGUUAGCUGCGUUACUAAAGGAUUUAACUCCUCCAACAACUAGUCAUCAUCGUUUAGGGCGUGGACUAC